GGGCCACAGAGAAGGAAGACCUAUCUGAAAGGUGAAAGAGGAUUGGAAGUGAAUUGGCCAGAACUGGCCAUUCACGAACACUCUCCUAAGCCAAUCACUGCAAGAGAAGUGGAGUUUCCGUGAGUGGUUUGGUACCAUCGUGAUUCAUCCCUGGGGAUACCAGAAAGGCCCCCCUCCCCUGCUAAGUGAGCUGAGGGAAGCGUCUGACCAGGCUCUCACGCAUGUGCUCAUCUGGCACGGAUCUACUGAGCUCCCCAAGCUGAGCGUGCCGUGAAGGAUGAUGGGGGUGUGCAGAGGGAGCACAAAGGAUAUUCUGGGAGGACAGGUGACCUAGAAACCAUGCAUGUUUCUCAGUAUGGACAGAGCACCCAGACUUCACCCAGAAUCCCAUCUCCUGCUUGCAUUGGUCCCCGUUAUUAUUACCAAGACAAGAUCCCCAAAGAUGGAGACUGCCAUGGAGUGUGGCGCACACAGCAAAAGCACUAGUUUUCUUUAAUGGAAUCACUCCCAGUAACGUCAUGCUUGCAUUACUUUCUUAUUUGGAGAUACAGAACAGCCCAG
Molecule: long non-coding RNA, 561 nt
Filed under: Fukomys damarensis (Damara mole-rat)
Lineage: Eukaryota; Metazoa; Chordata; Mammalia; Rodentia; Bathyergidae
Description: lncRNA (ENSFDAG00000029529.1)
Source: RNAcentral